RNAcentral lists this ribosomal RNA (462 nucleotides) under uncultured bacterium. Its description in RNAcentral is "bacterial SSU rRNA". It matches the Rfam family "Bacterial small subunit ribosomal RNA", at positions 29 to 525 of the family's 1533-position model. The record is from RNAcentral.
AGCGAACGCUAGCGGCGGGCCUAACACAUGCAAGUCGAGCGGGGGAGCAAUCCCCAGCGGCGGACGGGUGAGUAACACGUAGGUUAUGUGCCCUUUGGUGGGGAAUAACCGUGGGAAACCAUGGCUAAUUCCGCAUAUCGAGCGAAAUCUUGAAAGCCUUCGGGCGCCAAAAGGAGCAACCUGCGGCCCAUUAGCUUGUUGGUAGGUAACGGCCUACCAAGGCGAUGAUGGGUAGCUGGUCUGAGAGGAUGAUCAGCCACACUGGAACUGAGACACGGUCCAGACUCCUACGGGAGGCAGCAGUGGGAAUAUUGCGCAAUGGGCGAAAGCCUGACGCAGCCAGCCGCGUGAGUGAUGAAGGCCUUCGGGUCGUAAAACUCUGUCGGGAGGGACGAAGGGGUAACCCUGACGGUACCUCGCAAGAAAGCACCGGCUAACUCUGUGCCAGCAGCCGCGGUAAAU